UUCAAAACAAGAGUGUCUGUCUCAGAAGCUGAAGAAAAAAGGCCACACCUUAUAGGAAAUAAACGCCUCCUAAGUGUAUGGAAAUACCUGGCUGAGGAGAUCAGUGACAUAAACCAGAUAAAACUGUCAGUGGUCUGAGACAGCUACAAGCCACAAAAACAGUUCAUAGUUCCUGCAUUUCUAUAAUGCAUUAAUGAAUAACAAUAAUUAAAAUAAAAUGUAAUGUCAAGGUUUUGUGUUAAUUCCAGCUAUGUUGAGUAUUCUGUGAAUAAUUUUGAUUUUAGGUGCAUAUUCUUAAUUCUUUGCAAAACAACCUGAACUGUUUGCUAUUGAAAGGUUGGUAUGAAGUUUAAAUAAAUAAAAACAUUAUAUUCUUGACAAAAC
Long non-coding RNA from Carassius auratus (goldfish), 384 nucleotides. RefSeq lists it as uncharacterized. The transcript has 2 exons. NCBI's taxonomy places the organism in Eukaryota, Metazoa, Chordata, Actinopteri, Cypriniformes, Cyprinidae. The record is from RefSeq and is a predicted model, not a curated record.